GAUAAGAACGUAGCGAAAUGCGAUACGUAAUGUGAAUUGCAGAUUUCAGUGAAUCAUCGAAUCUUUGAACGCACAUUGCGCCCGCUAGUAUUCUGGCGGGCAUGCCUGUUCGAGCGUCAUUUCAACCAUCAAGCCCCCGGCUUGCGUUGGAGCCCUGCGGCUGCCGCAGGCUCCCAAAUCUAGUGGCGGGCUCGUCGUCGUACCGAGUGCAGUAAACAUCCUCGCUCAGGGAACGCGUCGGGUUCUUGCCGUGAAACCCCCCCAUAUCAAGGUUGACCUCGGAUCAGGUAGGAAUACCCGCUGAACUUAAGCAUAUCAAUAAGCGGAGGA
This 330-nucleotide unclassified non-coding RNA is filed under the name soil metagenome. Its description in RNAcentral is "partial contains 5.8S ribosomal RNA, internal transcribed spacer 2, and large subunit ribosomal RNA". The stretch from base 4 to 119 matches the Rfam family "5.8S ribosomal RNA", at positions 39 to 154 of the family's 154-position model. The record is from RNAcentral.